UAGGGAAUCUUCGGCAAUGGACGAAAGUCUGACCGAGCAACGCCGCGUGAGUGAAAAAGGUUUUCGGAUCGUAAAACUCUGUUGUUAGAGAAGAACAAGGACGUUAGUAACUGAACGUCCCCUGACGGUAUCUAACCAGAAAGCCACGGCUAACUACGUGCCAGCAGCCGCGGUAAUACGUAGGUGGCAAGCGUUGUCCGGAUUUAUUGGGCGUAAAGCGCGCGCAGGCGGUUUCUUAAGUCUGAUGUGAAAGCCCCCGGCUCAACCGGGGAGGGUCAUUGGAAACUGGGAGACUUGAGUGCAGAAGAGGAGAGUGGAAUUCCAUGUGUAGCGGUGAAAUGCGUAGAUAUAUGGAGGAACACGAGUGGCGAAGGCGGCUCGCUGGUCGGUAACUGACGCGGAGGAUCGAAAGCGUGGGGAGCAAACAGG
This 429-nucleotide ribosomal RNA is filed under the name Gemmatimonadota bacterium. RNAcentral's name for it is "Gemmatimonadetes bacterium partial 16S ribosomal RNA". It matches the Rfam family "Bacterial small subunit ribosomal RNA", at positions 355 to 776 of the family's 1533-position model. The record is from RNAcentral. Lineage: Bacteria; Pseudomonadati; Gemmatimonadota.